AGUGAACGCUGGCGGUAGGCCUAACACAUGCGAGUCGAACGGCAGCACAGUAAGAGCUUGCUCUUACGGGUGGCGAGUGGCGGACGGGUGAGGAAUACAUCGUAAUCUACUUUUUCGUGGGGGAUAACGUAGGGAAACUUACGCUAAUACCGCAUACGACCUACGGGUGAAAGCAGGGGAUCUUCGGACCUUGCGCGAUUGAAUGAGCCGAUGUCGGAUUAGCUAGUUGGCGGGGUAAAGGCCCACCAAGGCGACGAUCCGUAGCUGGUCUGAGAGGAUGAUCAGCCACACUGGAACUGAGACACGGUCCAGACUCCUACGGGAGGCAGCAGUGGGGAAUAUUGGACAAUGGGCGCAAGCCUGAUCCAGCCAUACCGCGUGGGUGAAGAAGGCGUUCGGGUUGUAAAGCCCUUUUGUUGGGAAAGAAAAGCAGCAGGUUAAUACCCCGCUGUUCUGACGGUACCCAAAGAAUAAGCACCGGCUAACUUCGUG
RNAcentral lists this ribosomal RNA (492 nucleotides) under uncultured bacterium. Its description in RNAcentral is "partial 16S ribosomal RNA". It matches the Rfam family "Bacterial small subunit ribosomal RNA", at positions 29 to 507 of the family's 1533-position model. The record is from RNAcentral.